This 549-nucleotide ribosomal RNA is filed under the name uncultured bacterium. Its description in RNAcentral is "partial 16S ribosomal RNA". It matches the Rfam family "Bacterial small subunit ribosomal RNA", at positions 355 to 920 of the family's 1533-position model. The record is from RNAcentral.
UGGGGAAUAUUGCACAAUGGGCGAAAGCCUGAUGCAGCAACGCCGCGUGAGUGAUGAAGGCCUUCGGGUUGUAAAGCUCUGUCUUUUGGGACGAUAAUGACGGUACCAAAGGAGGAAGCCACGGCUAACUACGUGCCAGCAGCCGCGGUAAUACGUAGGUGGCAAGCGUUGUCCGGAUUUACUGGGCGUAAAGGAUGCGUAGGCGGAUUUUUAAGUGGGAUGUGAAAUACCCGGGCUUAACUUGGGUGCUGCAUUUCAAACUGGGAAUCUAGAGUGCGGGAGAGGAGAAUGGAAUUCCUAGUGUAGCGGUGAAAUGCGUAGAGAUUAGGAAGAACACCAGUGGCGAAGGCGAUUCUCUGGACCGUAACUGACGCUGAGGCAUGAAAGCGUGGGUAGCAAACAGGAUUAGAUACCCUGGUAGUCCACGCCGUAAACGAUGAGUACUAGGUGUAGGAGGUAUCGACCCCUUCUGUGCCGCAGUUAACACAAUAAGUACUCCGCCUGGGAAGUACGAUCGCAAGAUUAAAACUCAAAUGAAUUGACGGGGUC